GAUGAACGCUGGCGGCGUGCCUAAUACAUGCAAGUAGAACGCUGAAGGAGGAGCUUGCUCUUCUGGAUGAGUUGCGAACGGGUGAGUAACGUGUAGGUAACCUGCCUGGUAGCGGGGGAUAACUAUUGGAAACGAUAGCUAAUACCGCAUGACAACAGUUAUUGCAUGAUAACUGUUUAAAAGGGGCAACUGCUCCACUACCAGAUGGACCUGCGUUGUAUUAGCUAGUUGGUGAGGUAACGGCUCACCAAGGCGACGAUACAUAGCCGACCUGAGAGGGUGAUCGGCCACACUGGGACUGAGACACGGCCCAGACUCCUACGGGAGGCAGCAGUAGGGAAUCUUCGGCAAUGGACGGAAGUCUGACCGAGCAACGCCGCGUGAGUGAAGAAGGUUUUCGGAUCGUAAAGCUCUGUUGUAAGAGAAGAACGAGUGUGAGAGUGGAAAGUUCACACUGUGACGGUAUCUGACCAGAAAGGGACGGCUAACUACGUG
Molecule: ribosomal RNA, 495 nt
Filed under: uncultured bacterium
Lineage: Bacteria
Description: partial 16S ribosomal RNA
Rfam family: Bacterial small subunit ribosomal RNA
Source: RNAcentral